RNAcentral lists this long non-coding RNA (1182 nucleotides) under Daphnia pulicaria. RNAcentral's name for it is "uncharacterized LOC124340683, transcript variant X2". Lineage: Eukaryota; Metazoa; Arthropoda; Branchiopoda; Diplostraca; Daphniidae. The record is from RNAcentral.
AUUUAUGUGAUUUGCAUUCCAAGAUUCUCAACAACAUUGUGAGCAAAAAAAUACUUCAAGCUUGAACUAAACCCCCCAUAAUCUAAUUACAUACUUCAGUGUUCAGUGUUUCACAGAGACUGUCUUGAGGCAACAGCGGAGAAACAAUGUCUGAAUGAGGAGCUUACUCGGUGAAUUCGAAACUAAUUGAAACAUCUAAUCAAUUUGAAAAACUUGACUGAAACAAUCAAAGGACUAUAAUUGAAAGCAAUCCAGCCGUCCCGUCCAAUCGUUCGUGAAUGCUAAGGGUGCUAAGGACUGUUUGCUGUCACUAGGUGGCUAAAACUAUGCCCACUUGAUGGCACGAUGUCAAAGGCACUGAGCGAAAAAGUCUGGAGCUGCUGUGUACAGUUUCAAAAUGUCGUCUCUUACUACCUUUAUCGGGUGAACGUUUCGUCACAUGCAGAACAACUUCAGAACAAUUAAAUCUAAUGUGGACAUGGAUUUUUUGCAGUCAUCCAGUGAAAGGUGUGAAUAAAUUGAGAUGUUGCAUGCAGUCUUUGGUGCCAAUGUUGUCCUGGAUUGUGGGAGAGUUCCAUGCUUCAAGUUUUAUGGCAUCAGUCACUGGAUCAUUAUGCAUUGUGGUUGCUGAAAUGUUGGACAUCUAGUAGAACUGCAAGAAGCCUUCUUGAAAUGGUUUAUGUUUACAUAGCAGUGAUGUUGCUGUCAAAUGGGCCAUGUUGUUGCAGCCUGCUGGCGAAGGAUUUUUUGCAUCGAGUUAAACUGUUGCUGUGCCUUGGUCCAGACUGCUGGUGUUGUGCAAUGUGCACAGAAUUUCCAUCCAGAUUUAAUUGUAAUUUGUGUCUAUGCAGUUAACCGUUUGUAUGUUGAGAAUGAACAAAAACAGUAAAAACGGGGAAUUUUUGCGUUGAACAAAUAAUAAACAUGUCUUUGCGAAUGGGAAAUCAGCGAGGAGGAGAUGGUGUGGGGGGGGUAGUUGAUUUUCAUUAACUAGAAGAAGUGGUGGUUUGUUUUAAUAAGGUAGAAAUAAAAUCCUUUGUCUAUCACGUCCACAAAUCCAUAUACCUUUCUAUGUAACCACAUUUAUUCUUCAAACCCCAUAACAUCCACCAACAUCCAUUCAUUAAACCCGCAUUGCCCCACAAAUGUAAAAUAUCUAUAAUAUGUAAAUAUUAUUGUUGA